UACGUAGGGCGCAAGCGUUAUCCGGAAUUAUUGGGCGUAAAGAGCUCGUAGGCGGUUUGUCGCGUCUGCCGUGAAAGUCCGGGGCUCAACUCCGGAUCUGCGGUGGGUACGGGCAGACUAGAGUGAUGUAGGGGAGACUGGAAUUCCUGGUGUAGCGGUGAAAUGCGCAGAUAUCAGGAGGAACACCGAUGGCGAAGGCAGGUUUCUGGGCAUUAACUGACGCUGAGGAGCGAAAGCAUGGGGAGCGAACAGG
Molecule: ribosomal RNA, 253 nt
Filed under: uncultured bacterium
Lineage: Bacteria
Description: partial 16S ribosomal RNA
Rfam family: Bacterial small subunit ribosomal RNA
Source: RNAcentral